This 467-nucleotide ribosomal RNA is filed under the name uncultured bacterium. RNAcentral describes it as "partial 16S ribosomal RNA". It matches the Rfam family "Bacterial small subunit ribosomal RNA", at positions 28 to 507 of the family's 1533-position model. The record is from RNAcentral.
GACGAACGCUGGCGGCGUGCUUAACACAUGCAAGUCGAACGGAAAGGCCUCUUUCGGGGGGUACUCGCGUGGCGAACGGGUGAGUAACACGUGAGUAACCUGCCCUUGACUUUGGGAUAACUUCAGGAAACUGGGGCUAAUACCUGCUAGGAGCUCCUGCUGAACGGAGGGGGUUGGAAAGUUUCGGCGGUUGGGGAUGGACUCGCGGCUUAUCAGCUUGUUGGUGGGGUAGUGGCUUACCAAGGCGUUGACGGGUAGACGGCCUGAGAGGGUGACCGGCGACAUUGGGACUGAGAGACGGCCCAGACUCCUACGGGAGGGAGCAGGGGGGAAUAUUGCACAAGGGGUGGAAGCCGGAUGCAGCAACGCCGUGGGCGGGAUGACGGCCUUAGGGUUGUAAACCGAUUUCGCUCAUGACGAAGCUUUGUGUGACGGUAGUGGGUAAAGAAGCACCGGCUAACUACGUG